GCCCGGGUGGCGGAAUGGCAGACGCAGGGGACUUAAAAUCCCCAGGCCCUAACGGGCCGUGCAGGUUCGAGUCCUGCCCCGGGCACCA
Molecule: transfer RNA, 88 nt
Filed under: Acidobacteriota bacterium
Lineage: Bacteria; Pseudomonadati; Acidobacteriota
Description: Acidobacteria bacterium (groundwater metagenome) tRNA-Leu
Rfam family: tRNA
About the family: Transfer RNA (tRNA) molecules are approximately 80 nucleotides in length. Their secondary structure includes four short double-helical elements and three loops (D, anti-codon, and T loops). Further hydrogen bonds mediate the characteristic L-shaped molecular structure. tRNAs have two regions of fundamental functional importance: the anti-codon, which is responsible for specific mRNA codon recognition, and the 3' end, to which the tRNAs corresponding amino acid is attached (by aminoacyl-tRNA synthetases). tRNAs cope with the degeneracy of the genetic code in two manners: having more than one tRNA (with a specific anti-codon) for a particular amino acid; and 'wobble' base-pairing, i.e. permitting non-standard base-pairing at the 3rd anti-codon position.
Source: RNAcentral